AUACGGAGGGUGCAAGCGUUGUUCGGAAUUACUGGGCGUAAAGCGCGUGCAGGCGGUAAGGUAAGUCAGAUGUGAAAGCCCCGGGCUCAACCUGGGAAGUGCAUUUGAUACUGCCUUUCUUGAGUAUGGGAGAGGAGAGUGGAAUUCCCAGUGUAGAGGUGAAAUUCGUAGAUAUUGGGAGGAACACCCGUGGCGAAGGCGACUCUCUGGACCAAUACUGACGCUGAGACGCGAAAGCGUGGGGAGCGAACAGGAUUAGAUACCCUAGUAGUCC
Molecule: ribosomal RNA, 274 nt
Filed under: uncultured bacterium
Lineage: Bacteria
Description: partial 16S ribosomal RNA
Rfam family: Bacterial small subunit ribosomal RNA
Source: RNAcentral